Molecule: ribosomal RNA, 245 nt
Filed under: uncultured bacterium
Lineage: Bacteria
Description: partial 16S ribosomal RNA
Rfam family: Bacterial small subunit ribosomal RNA
Source: RNAcentral
UACGGGGGGGGCAAGCGUUGUUCGGAAUUACUGGGCGUAAAGGGCGCGUAGGCGGCUUGGUAAGUCAGGUGUGAAAGCCCGAGGCUCAACCUCGGAAAGUCAUUUGAUACUAUCAAGCUAGAGUGCAGAAGAGGCAGUUGGAAUUCCUGGUGUAGCGGUGAAAUGCGUAGAUAUCAGGAAGAACAUCGGUGGCGAAGGCGGACUGCUGGGCUGACACUGACGCUGAGGCGCGAAAGCUAGGGGAG